UACGUAGGGGGCAAGCGUUAUCCGGAUUUACUGGGUGUAAAGGGAGCGUAGACGGCUUUGCAAGCCAGAUGUGAAAGCCCGGGGCUCAACCCCGGGACUGCAUUUGGAACUGUGUGGCUAGAGUGUCGGAGAGGCAGGCGGAAUUCCUAGUGUAGCGUUGAAAUGCGUAGAUAUUAGGAGGAACACCAGUGGCGAAGGCGGCCUGCUGGACGAUGACUGACGUUGAGGCUCGAAAGCGUGGGGAGCAAACAGG
This 253-nucleotide ribosomal RNA is filed under the name uncultured bacterium. Its description in RNAcentral is "partial 16S ribosomal RNA". It matches the Rfam family "Bacterial small subunit ribosomal RNA", at positions 524 to 776 of the family's 1533-position model. The record is from RNAcentral.